Molecule: ribosomal RNA, 621 nt
Filed under: uncultured bacterium
Lineage: Bacteria
Description: bacterial SSU rRNA
Rfam family: Bacterial small subunit ribosomal RNA
Source: RNAcentral
CCUACGGGAGGCAGCAGUGGGGAAUUUUGGACAAUGGGCGCAAGCCUGAUCCAGCAAUGCCGCGUGAGUGAAGAAGGCCUUCGGGUUGUAAAGCUCUUUUGUCAGGGAAGAAACGGUGGGGGCUAAUAUCUCCUACUAAUGACGGUACCUGAAGAAUAAGCACCGGCUAACUACGUGCCAGCAGCCGCGGUAAUACGUAGGGUGCAAGCGUUAAUCGGAAUUACUGGGCGUAAAGCGUGCGCAGGCGGUUUUGUAAGUCUGUCGUGAAAGCCCCGGGCUCAACCUGGGAAUUGCGAUGGAGACUGCAAGGCUUGAAUCUGGCAGAGGGGGGUAGAAUUCCACGUGUAGCAGUGAAAUGCGUAGAGAUGUGGAGGAACACCGAUGGCGAAGGCAGCCCCCUGGGUCAAGAUUGACGCUCAUGCACGAAAGCGUGGGGAGCAAACAGGAUUAGAUACCCUGGUAGUCCACGCCCUAAACGAUGUCUACUAGUUGUCGGGUUUUAAUUAACUUGGUAACGCAGCUAACGCGUGAAGUAGACCGCCUGGGGAGUACGGUCGCAAGAUUAAAACCNCGAAAGGAAUUGACGGCUAAGACGUAGCGACGACGACGACGAGGGAGAGG